RNAcentral lists this ribosomal RNA (352 nucleotides) under uncultured bacterium. RNAcentral describes it as "partial 16S ribosomal RNA". It matches the Rfam family "Bacterial small subunit ribosomal RNA", at positions 527 to 881 of the family's 1533-position model. The record is from RNAcentral.
GGAGGAUGCGAGCGNNAUCCGGACNNANNGGGNNUAAAGGGAGCGCAGACGGGAGAUCAAGNCAGUCGUGAAAGNNUGCGGCNCAACCGUAAAAUCGCAGUCGAUACUGGUNUCCUNGAGUGCAGUNGAGGCAGGCGGAAUUCGUGGUGUAGCGGUGAAAUGCUUAGAUAUCACGAAGAACCCCGAUUGCGAAGGCAGCUUGCUAAACUGUAACUGACGUUCAUGCUCGAAAGUGUGGGUAUCAAACAGGAUUAGAUACCCUGGUAGUCCACACGGUAAACGAUGGAUACUCGCUGUUGGCGAUAUACUGUCAGCGGCCAAGCGAAAGCAUUAAGUAUCCCACCUGGGGAGU